GGUUUGUGCAGUGUUCCACAUGAUUCUUGGCUGAAUGUCCUUUUUGAGAUCCUGCAGCUGUUAACCCUGUGUGGGAGAAUGCCUUAUCCAGGUGUAGUCUUGUGCACACCUCUCCAGACCCAUAGCAGUGGUUUGGUUACAGAGCUGUGAUUAUAUGGACAUUCUCUACACCUGGUACACAGCAGUUCAGACAUACAGCCCCAUUGGAAUGUGCUGAUAGAGAUAUACUUUUAAUUAUUCGGCUUCAUUAUAUUAUGAUUGGAUUUGAUGAUUCAUGUAUGGCCCUUCUUGAAAAAGAUCCUGGUUUUUGGAUCGAAACGUCGAGACCU
Long non-coding RNA from Pseudophryne corroboree (corroboree frog), 329 nucleotides. RefSeq lists it as uncharacterized. The record is from RefSeq and is a predicted model, not a curated record. The transcript has 4 exons. Lineage: Eukaryota; Metazoa; Chordata; Amphibia; Anura; Myobatrachidae.